CUGAUUUUUGUGCAAAUUCUAUCACCAUGGAUACAGGUCAAGAUAUUUUUUACGAUAACGAAGAAAUAAAAUACAUAGUCUUAAUUGUACUGUUCAAAUCUACUAGGUUUU
RNAcentral lists this unclassified non-coding RNA (111 nucleotides) under Schizosaccharomyces pombe (fission yeast). RNAcentral describes it as "non-coding RNA (predicted)". Lineage: Eukaryota; Fungi; Ascomycota; Schizosaccharomycetes; Schizosaccharomycetales; Schizosaccharomycetaceae. The record is from RNAcentral.